UUCAUCCCGCCCGUCUUCCCCAGUCCUCCUUGAUCCUCCUCCUUGUAGCCAGAACGUGACCAAGGUAUAUGUUGAUCUAUGGGCGGCAUAGAGAUCCCCUUUUGCCCUAUCUUUGCCCUCUUCACGUUGAUCUGCAAGUUUAUGUGGUAUAAAAAUCUCCCUUUUGCCCUAUCGCUCUACUGAUUGUUCUCCUCCCGCUGAUCUGCAAGUGGUGUGGAUGAUCUCCCUUUUGAACUCACUUCUACCAUCCUUCUCCUAGCAACAAAAAAGAAGUUGAUCAAUCUCAAGGUAUGUGACAUGUGGUCUUAUUCAUGUUCUCAAGGCAACAAGAGAAUUCCUAGACUGAUUUUGCUAUAUGAUCACAGAUUACAAAAAAGGACAAGGUUUAGUGGAGAAUAUGAUUAACGGCAAUGAAGAUUCAAACAGGUAACAUCAAUUUUAAUAAAUUCAGCAGCUAAAUUGCAGAGGAGUCGCACCCUCCAAACAACUAGUAGAAAAUUAGAAGUAAUAAGGAAGGAAGGAGAUCCAAAAUUUAUUCCUGCACCUUUUGGAUGAUGUUAGAGUGAAAAAAAAUAUUUGAACAGAAGUGAUCUCUAUUGUUCUAAAUAGCUCAAGAUAAAAUACAUGAAUGUAGUCAGACCUUUACAUGCAAGUUGUACCAUAGGAAAAUACAUGAAUGUAGUCAUACCUGUAGAUGCGAGUUGUACCAUAGGUGCUUUGCUAACAGAAGUGAUCUCUAUUGUUUUGAAUAAUCUCAAGAUAAAAUACAUUAAUGUAGUUAGAUCUGUAGAUGCAAGUUGUACCAUAGGUGCUUUGCUCGUGAAGUACUUGGGAUUUCCAAUAAUUGACAGGAGAUUAAUGUAGAUGAUCUCCCUUUUGCCUCUUCCUUCUCCUAGCACAAAAAAGAUGAUCAAUCUUGAGGUAUGUAACAUAUGCUCUAAUUGUAUUCAUGUUCUCAAGGCAGCAAGAGAAUUCCUAUAGACCGAGUUUGCUAUGCUAUCACAGAUUACAAAAAAGGAAACUAAAAGGUGUAAUCCAGAAUAUGACCAACUCCAAGAAAGAUUCAAACAUGUACACUCUAUUUUUUUUUUAAAUUCUCAUGCCAUAUCAUCAAAUUCUUGUAGUGUAACUAGACAAAUAAAUUAAGAUAUGCCUAUUUUUUACAGGGCAAAUAUGGUUCCUAGUUGGAUGCCUCAAAUUGGUAUGAAAUUUAAUUCCACAAAAGAGGCUUGGGGCUUUUGGACUUGUUAUGGAGGUCAUAUUGGUUUUGACGUAAGGGUAAAUUAUGAAAAUAAGAGCAAACUUGAUGGGGCAAUCACUUCCGCGAGAUACGUUUGUUCCAAUGAGGGCUACCGAAGAAUAGACAAAAGAGAUCAUAAUACCAAGCGUCCUCGUGCAGAAACAAGGACUGGUUGUAAAGUUCGAAUGGGAAUCACCAUCGACCAUGAAACAGGAAAUUAUGAAGUACAUGAGUUAGUCACUGAACACAACCAUGUCUUGCAAUUGCCUGGAACAUGCCACUUGAUGCCAUCACAGCGGAAGAUAUCGACCUUGCAAGCUUUUGACAUUGAAAUUGCAGAUGAUUCAGGAAUUGUACCAAAAGCAGCCCAUGAGUUGGCAAGUCGGCAAGUUGGUGGGUCAUCAAACCUUACCUACACACCUCGUGAUCACAAGAACUAUUUGCGAACCAAGCGUCAAAGGGAGUUGAUAUAUGGUGAAGCUGGAAGUAUGCUCAAGUACUUUCGAGAUAAAAAAAUGAGAAUCCUGCAUUUGAAUAUGACGUACAACACGACUGCAAUGAACAAAUAGCAAAUAUCUUCUGGGCUGAUGCGAAGAUGAUCAUUGACUAUGCUCACUUCGGUGAUGUUGUUACGUUUGAUACUACAUUUGGGACAAAUAAAGAGUACAGACCCUUUGGUGUAUUUGUUGGCUUCAACCAUUUUAGGGAAAUGUUCAUUUUUGGUGCUGCACUUCUAUACGACGAGACAUUUGAAUCCUUCAGAUGGUUGUUCAACACUUUCCUAUCCAUACAUAACAAAAAGCAGCCUAGAACUAUCUUUACUGACCAGGACGUAGCAAUGGGUAAUGCAAUUCGGGCGGUAUUUACGGAAGCAUGGCAUGGAUUGUGCACUUUUCACAUAAUGCAAAAUGCCAUCAAACAUUUACCUCAUAAGAAAAAAGACGAGGAUGGCCCAAAUGUACUUGCUGAUUUCAGUGCUUGCAUGUACAAGUAUGAGGAAGAGGAAGACUUUGAAGAAGCUUUCACUGCCAUAAGAAUCAAUGUGGAUACACAGACUUGGUUGGACAGUAUCUAUAAAGUAAAAGAGAAAUGGGCAAGAUGUUACAUGAGGAAUGCUUACACUAUAGGCAUGAGAAGCACACAAUCAAGUGAGAGCUUGAAUAGUGACUUGGAAGACCAUUUGAAGUCUGAUCUUGACAUUCUUUGUUUUUUCAAGCACGUAGAGAGGGUUGUGAAAGGAAAGAGAGAUAAAGAGGUAAAUGAAGAAUAUGAGUCUAGGAAAAAAUUACCUAGAGUUAGAAUAAGAACUCCUACAGUAAUACAAGCAAGCAAAGUUUACACACCUCACAUAUUUGAAGAUUUUCAGAAUGAAUAUGAAAGAUCCAUCUCAUCGUACAUCAAGCCAUCGAAGGAACACAAUGUAUAUACUGUUGAAAUUGCCAAUCUUGACCCGGAAUGCUCUUAUGAGGAAGAAUGCAAAGUUCUGGUUGAUGAAGAGCAAAAAGUUCUAUGUAGUUGUGGUCAAUUCGAAAGAGUUGGUAUAUUGUGUAGUCAUGCUUUGAAAGCCCUUGAUGUCAUGAAUAUUAAGUAUCUUCCAAGCCACUAUAUUUUGAAGCGAUGGACUCGAGAAGCACGAAGCGGGACUAUUCAAAACAGCCAUGGCAACAUUGUUUUGGAAGACCCUAGAUCGGAAGAUAGGCAGCAGCUUAAGUUUUUCAUGCAUGAGUUCCUUGGCAUAGCUUCCCAAGCAGUUGCAUCACAAGAGUGCAUAAAAUUAGUAGAUGAUGCUUUGAAGAAUCUAAAGAAGCAAGUUGAAGACAAAGCUCCUACUACUACAUGCAGAACUGAAGCUAUAUCUCAGGAACCAGACAUUUGUUUGCAAACAGCUUGUCUGAAUAAAAACGAAAUUCAGCAGAAGACUUCAAAAAGGAAGAAAUCAUGGCUUGAUAAUCAACAUCCCAGUAAAAAGAAAAAAGGGGCAGCUAAAGUCAUUCCCGAAAAACAAUCUUCUUCUGUAAAUCUCUUAUCACUUAUCAAAACAGCCUAUAGAUUUACUAAUAACUCAACUAAUGUUUAUUCUGAUUUAUUUUUUGCAUAGACAGGAGAGAAGUACAUUCCAUGGGAAGCACCUAUAGAGAAAAUGACUGGAACAAAUGCAGACGGUUUGCAGGAAUAUGGGUACUAUGCUCGUUUACUAACGGUAUUCCACUUAUCUUGUCCAAAAUUCCUAAAAUCCAUUUGUAAGCAAUAUGAUUAUUUGUGUGUAUAAAAUCUGGUAUGUCUCUCUUUAAUAUACAGAGUGAAGCCAAUGAUAUUUGGGACUUGGAAACAAAUUCAUAUUUUUCUCGGAUAUGACAAUAGUUUGAUAGAGAAAUAAGAGGAGAGUCAUGCAUUUGUGUGGUUCGUCUCCUCUGCAUCAACCUCAACUACAGCCGUGACUACAGCCGUGAACUGCAGCUAGUAAUUCCUUCUAUUUGUGAUGUGUUUAGUACUUAAGGCAAAUACAGAGAGAGCAACCUCUGCAUCCUGUUAUGAUACGUGAACAGGAAGAGCAACUUUUGCUUCUGUUUAUCUGUUUUAAAGUGAGGAAAAAUAAAAGUAGAGUAGCACUUAGUUUUGCUGAUGUGUGAAGGGGCAAGGACUUGAGCAUUUACGUCACAGUAUCCUGGUUUCCAAACAAGAUGAACCAAAAACUGACUUACAGUAUUCUAGAAAUUUGCUAGUCAGAACCAUGCCAAAAUCUCUAUGGAGAGUGAGACCACGACACAACGGCGCAAUCAAAUCAAAUGCAAUUGCAGUAAGAUAACAAUCGGUAUUUAGACCACAACAUAGCAACGUUGAGAAAUACAGGCUACAUACAUAUAAUUCUAAAGAUUUGGACGGACAAUAUCAAUGGACAGGGGACCAAACAUACUGUCAUGCUACAUACUACAAGGUAGGAGCUAGCCACGUACUGACCUGUGCCUCUCCCGAGCUCAAGAAGCGCCCGCACGGCGAUAUCUCCUUCCUGGACUGUGGCGGCGCGGGGCCGGGCGGCCGGUAGAUCCCCAUCGGCGAGCGGCUGGAGGAAGCGGGCAGCUUCAAUCGAGGUGAGGGACGUAGGGCGGCGCAGCCUGAGGAGGGUGGAGUCCUCCCACGUACCUGACUUCCAUGGUGUCGGCCGGUGAGCCCAGGGAACGGCGCCUUGCGGCGGAUCGUGGGAAAGCCGGGGACACAGCCGUAGCGCAGCAGGUGGGCGUGGAGGUCCAUCCGUCGGACCGUCGCUAGGGGAGGGAGUGUGCUUGGCUGGAGAUAUGAACCCUCGCCAGCGGCGAGGUCGUCUGCUCGCCCUUGCCUCAAUCUCUUUGCUCUCCAGUCUUUAGGGCAUCUCCAGCCGCGCCUCCAACAGGCCCUUCCCAGGCGAUUUUGCCGCGCCAGCGCCAAAAAAAGGCCCCAGUCGCGCCCAGAAGCCCGUUUUUCGCCGGCUCGGGCCAAAACUGGUGCCGGCGGACCCAGGCCGAACCCGGCGCCCUGGGGGGCGCUUGGGGAGCGGGCACAAACGAAAAAGGCGCGUGGACCCGCCCUGGAAGCGACCCGAGGGCCUUUUCCCGCUGUUGCUCGACGCUUUUCCUUCGCAUCUCUCCCGCUCGCUCACCUUCCUCCCGCCACUCUCUCCCUUUCUCCCGCCAAACCCCCUCCCGCUCGCUCGCCGCGAAGAAGCACGCCAUGCCGCCGAAGAAGUACGCCAUGACGCACGCGGUGGCACCCGCGACUGGCGCCGUGGCCCGACCGAAGCAGAGGAAGCCGAGGGCGCCGCCAUUGAAGCCACCGGGCCUGUCGAACGCCGAGUGGAGGGUGGAAGUUCAGUGGCGCGAAAGCAGUCACCGCCGACAGGCGGAAUAGGGCCAUAGCCAAGAAGGCCCGCGACAACGCGGCGUGCGCGGCGGCGUCUUCCUCAUCGGUCGACCAGGCGGGGAUGAAUACCCCCGUCGUCAGCCACGCCCAAUACGCGCCCUAAGGACAGCAAGGUGCCGGAUCUCCAUGGGGUUCAUCGUCGCCCGGCUACACCGACGGCGACGCGCACGGUGGGUUCAACCCAAACGUGACCUUCCCUAAUGGUCACCCCGCUACGCGCACACCCUCGCCCGCCUUCGCCGGCAUGCAGUACUCUCCAUACAACUACUCGCCGCCCACCUCAUACGCGUCCACACCGACGCCCCAUCUCUACCGCGGACCACUGCCCUUCUCGCACCUCGGCGACACCGACGACACGGGAGCCGACAUGGACGACAUCAUCGCGACAGGAUCGACCGCGGCCGCUGCGUCUCCCGGGUUCGCCACCCAGGACGAGGUAGUGGACCUCAAAGGCGACAUGGAGGUCAAGCUCGGCUACGUCUACGGCGACGACAUGCAGGAGCCCGAGGAGGAGGAGGAGGAGGAGGAGCCGGCUCCUGCUCCGACGAAGGGGCGCCGGAAGAAGAAGAAGCGGGCGGCUAGGUCAGGCGAACCGCGCAUCAAGUGGACGUCCAAGGAGGAGGAAUGCCUCACCGAAGCAUGGAAAGUCGACUGCCUCGACCCGACCACCGGCGCGAACCAGAGCUUGGACACGUACUAGGACCGCAUCAAGGCCGAGUUCGCCGAGCGGAAGCUCGUCGACCCCUACUUCAAAGGCAUCUACAUGCAGCACAGCUCCAAGGCGAUGGCGAACCAUUGGGGGCGUGUCCAGUUGGCGUGCAACAAAUGGCAUGGAAUCGUCGAGGAGGUCGCGGCUUGCCCGGAGAGUGGCACCAGCAUUGAGGAUCAGCUAUGCACGCCGUUCGCCCGCAUAUCUUCGUCCCCUACGCCCGCCGCCAGCCAACUGUUUGCCCCUCCGCGCAGCUGCUGCGUAGGUUCGCCAUGUAUCGGGGCGACAACCAAGACGCCGACUUCAAGCACCUCCACGUCUACAAGCGCAUUGACAAGUGCGAGAAGUGGGCAGAAGUCCGGCGUGCCCUCGACAAGGCCAAGGAGACAUACAAGCCAGACGCGACGACUCCGGGCGCGUCAGAGGGACGGCCGGACGGCCACAAAUUGGAAAUGAAGGGGAAAAGCGCCGACGCGGCAACCGCGCGAGUGCAGGAGUCCAUCGAGCAUUGCCUCGCCGACGCCCAGGCCCAGGCCGUCCUACGCGAAGAGAAGACCGAGGCGCGGUGGUCGUCGCUAAUGAAGAACAACGCCAUCAAGCUCGACCUGCUCCGGAUGAACGUCGCCGCGAAGAAGAGGAACACCGAGAUGGCUUUUUCGAUGAGCGGGGCGGACAUGCUCCAGAGCAACGACGAGAAGCUCAAGGCGUGGUACCUGGUGCAGCGCGGCCUCAUCCUGAACGAGUUGCCGACGGCAACGCCGACGACGCCCACGACCGCACGAACGUCAAGCCCGAAUGACACCUCCUCUACAUCGCCGCUCAGCAGUGCCGAAGCCGCGCCGACGCAGCCCUGCGCUGAAGCAGCUCCGACACCGACGACCCCCCCGCACGCCGACUCCGCCAACGCCUGGAGCCGACCCCGCCGAGUGAAUCGUUGCACGGCGGUGCUCUGUUUUUUGUAACGCCAGACUACGUCCAUCCGAUCGCCGGAUUUGCGGUGUCUUUUGAGAGCGGGAACGACCAAGUUUGAAUUUCCCGCAUCCUGGGGCCGGCGCGUGGGGGCGUGACUGGGAGCUAGGUCGCCCCCAGGGUAAGAACUAGCGCCGGCACGCCCCCAGGCCGCUCUAUUUAGGCGCCCUGGGGGGCCGAACGGCUGGAGAUGCCCUUACUGUGUGGUGUGCAGUGUGAACGGAAGCAUUUAUCCGAAUACAUAAAGGCAUUAUUAACAGAAAUAAGUGGGGAAAUUAGAGCAGUCAGAUGGGAAUUGACGGCCGAUGUGGAAGUCUACAACACGUGUGCUGUAGUAGUUUGACUGCGGAGGAGCCGACGAGAGGGUUCGGCUCCUCUGCAGUCGAACUACUACAGCAGGCGUGCUGUAGACGUCCACAUCGGCCGUCAAUUUCCAUCUGACCACUCUAAUUUCCCCACUUAUUUCUUUUAAAAAAAUGAAAACAAACACCCAAUUUGUCUGCUGAAAAAUCUCCUACGGCUGCUUGGCGCCAAACAGAACGCACGUUGGCGCCAAAUAGCGAUUCCAUGCCUUCGUCGCCAAACAGAACGAUGUCGCCAAACAGCGAUCUCUAUGCCUUCAUCCCGCCCGUCUUCCCCAGUCCUCCUUGAUCCUCCUCCUUGUAGCCAGAACGUGACCAAGGUAUAUGUUGAUCUAUGGGCGGCAUAGAGAUCCCCUUUUGCCCUAUCUUUGUCCUCUUCACGUUGAUCUGCAAGUUUAUGUGGUAUAAAAAUCUCCCUUUUGCCCUAUCGCUCUACUGAUUGUUCUCCUCCCGCUGAUCUGCAAGUGGUGUGGAUGAUCUCCCUUUUGAACUCACUUCUACCAUCCUUC
Molecule: long non-coding RNA, 7683 nt
Filed under: Triticum aestivum (bread wheat)
Lineage: Eukaryota; Viridiplantae; Streptophyta; Magnoliopsida; Poales; Poaceae
Description: long non-coding RNA (TAES_LNC017070)
Source: RNAcentral